This is a non-coding RNA of Musa acuminata subsp. malaccensis (wild Malaysian banana), 1075 nucleotides long. NCBI's taxonomy places the organism in Eukaryota, Viridiplantae, Streptophyta, Magnoliopsida, Zingiberales, Musaceae. The record is from RefSeq and is a predicted model, not a curated record.
UCCCGUCCGUCUCUCCUCCCCCAUCAAAUCGUAUCGCCCGCCUCCGUCGUCGCCGUCGUCAUCAUCAUCGCAUUCCCUUUCUCUUCUUUCCUCUCAGAUCUGAUAUGCUAUCCUCCUCCUCCUCCUCCUUGCUUCCGAAUCGAAUGAGCUCUGGAUGCAGCGGUUUAUCGAUCUCUUCCUGGCCUUGUUGGUCUCUCUUCCUUUCGUGGUGGUGGGGUUUGAUCCGUUUUUGUCUUGCUUCUUGAGGUUACAAAGCGGGAACCGGUCGAUAAACCUCUGCAUCCGGGCGUCCGCAGCCACCCAUUCCCCAGCCUCUCCUUUCCUUUCUUUCUCUCUUAAUCUUUGCCGUGGUUGACUAAUGACUGAGGUAGAGAAAGGUACCAGAUAGCUGUCACCGCUUGGUUUGGUGUGACCUAGCUGACGCGUGAUCUUUCGGGAAGGCCAUCGGUCUGGUGCUUGAUUUUGCAGAUCCGGUGUACUGUAGCAACCAUGUUUUGCUGAACAAAAUUUCAAUUCUGGAACACUCGAAAAGUAAACAAUUAGUCAACAUCAAGUAAGUAUAUUGGAGGGGCAUCUGAUAUUCUUAGAAGAUUCAUUCUCUGUUUAUAUAAUGGUCAGGUUAUUGUUUACCCUUUCUCUGUUAUGGAAUUAUCAUAAUUUCAGUAUGAAUCGAAGAUGCAAAGCUAUAUGACAGUUUAUACUGCAGAUCUCUCUAAUGAAGCUUUAUGUUUGUUGUGUUCAAUACAAUGUAAAAAGAGCACCUUGCAAAAGAGUUCCCAACUUGUUAGGUACAAGGAAUCCGGUUCCCAAUUAUAGUUCCUGGCAUGGCUUUCUAGGGUUAACAGGUUCCUUGCCUUGGCUGCUGAUAGCUGCUUUUCUCUUUCUCUUCCUUUUUCUUUCUGUUUGGAAGGAUUCUUCUGCAGCUACCAUUUCCCUGUCAGCAUUUAUGUUGAUGUUUGAGUUACACAGAUACACCACAUCUAAGACCAAUGUUGAUGGUUGAUGCAGCUUAAUGAUUCCUGUUGGAUUCUGUAUUAUCGGGAUUAUGAACUUUCUAACAAGUAUCAUUGAUCAA